Molecule: ribosomal RNA, 510 nt
Filed under: uncultured bacterium
Lineage: Bacteria
Description: bacterial SSU rRNA
Rfam family: Bacterial small subunit ribosomal RNA
Source: RNAcentral
GACGAACGCUGGCGGCGUGCCUAAUACAUGCAAGUCGAACGCACUCUCGUUUAGAUUGAAGGAGCUUGCUCCUGAUUGAUAAACAUUUGAGUGAGUGGCGGACGGGUGAGUAACACGUGGGUAACCUGCCCUAAAGUGGGGGAUAACAUUUGGAAACAGAUGCUAAUACCGCAUAAAACCUAACACCGCAUGGUGUAGGGUUGAAAGAUGGUUUCGGCUAUCACUUUAGGAUGGACCCGCGGUGCAUUAGUUAGUUGGUGAGGUAAAGGCUCACCAAGACCGUGAUGCAUAGCCGACCUGAGAGGGUAAUCGGCCACACUGGGACUGAGACACGGCCCAGACUCCUACGGGAGGCAGCAGUAGGGGAAUCUUCCACAAUGGACGAAAGUCUGAUGGAGCAACGCCGCGUGAGUGAAGAAGGUUUUCGGAUCGUAAAACUCUGUUGUUGGAGAAGAAUGUAUCUGAUAGUAACUGAUCAGGUAGUGACGGUAUCCAACCAGAAAGCCACGG